GAAAUGCGAUAAGUAGUGUGAAUUGCAGAAUUCAGUGAAUCAUCGAAUCUUUGAACGCACAUUACGCCCUUUGGUAUUCCUUAGGGCAUGCCUGUUCGAGCGUCAUCUAAACCUUCAAGCCCUGCUUGGUGUUGGGUGCCUGUCCCGCCUCCGCGCGCGGACUCACCUCAAAUCCAUUGGCGGCCCCCGCGUCGGCCACGAGCGCAGCAGAAACGCGAACUCGUGAGCCCGUCCGGGCGGCUCCCAGAAGCUACACCCACCCAGUUUGACCUCGGAUCAGGUAGGGAUACCCGCUGAACUUAAGC
RNAcentral lists this unclassified non-coding RNA (305 nucleotides) under plant metagenome. RNAcentral describes it as "partial contains 5.8S ribosomal RNA, internal transcribed spacer 2, and large subunit ribosomal RNA". The stretch from base 1 to 105 matches the Rfam family "5.8S ribosomal RNA", at positions 50 to 154 of the family's 154-position model. The record is from RNAcentral.